RNAcentral lists this ribosomal RNA (253 nucleotides) under uncultured bacterium. RNAcentral describes it as "partial 16S ribosomal RNA". It matches the Rfam family "Bacterial small subunit ribosomal RNA", at positions 524 to 776 of the family's 1533-position model. The record is from RNAcentral.
UACGGAGGGUGCAAGCGUUAUCCGGAUUCACUGGGUUUAAAGGGAGCGCAGGCGGAUUUGUAAGUCAGUGGUGAAAGGCUUAAGCUUAACUUGGGAACUGCCAUUGAUACUAUAAGUCUUGAAUGUUGUUGAGGUUUGCGGAAUGGGUCAUGUAGCGGUGAAAUGCAUAGAUAUGACGCAGAACACCAAUUGCGAAGGCAGCUUGCUACACUACUAUUGACACUGAGGCACGAAAGCGUGGGGAUCAAACAGG